GACGAACGCUGGCGGCGUGCUUAACACAUGCAAGUCGAACGGAAAGGCCCUGCUUUUGUGGGGUGCUCGAGUGGCGAACGGGUGAGUAACACGUGAGUAACCUGCCCUUGACUUUGGGAUAACUUCAGGAAACUGGGGCUAAUACCGGAUAGGAGCUCCUGCUGCAUGGUGGGGGUUGGAAAGUUUCGGCGGUUGGGGAUGGACUCGCGGCUUAUCAGCCUGUUGGUGGGGUAGUGGCUUACCAAGGCUUUGACGAGUAGCCGGCCUGAGAGGGUGACCGGCCACAUUGGGACUGAGAUACGGCCCAGACUCCUACGGGAGGCAGCAGUGGGGAAUAUUGCACAAUGGGCGGAAGCCUGAUGCAGCAACGCCGCGUGCGGGAUGACGGCCUUCGGGUUGUAAACCGCUUUCGCCUGUGACGAAGCGUGAGUGACGGUAAUGGGUAAAGAAGCACCGGCUAACUACGUG
RNAcentral lists this ribosomal RNA (468 nucleotides) under uncultured bacterium. RNAcentral describes it as "partial 16S ribosomal RNA". It matches the Rfam family "Bacterial small subunit ribosomal RNA", at positions 28 to 507 of the family's 1533-position model. The record is from RNAcentral.